This 465-nucleotide ribosomal RNA is filed under the name uncultured bacterium. Its description in RNAcentral is "partial 16S ribosomal RNA". It matches the Rfam family "Bacterial small subunit ribosomal RNA", at positions 338 to 795 of the family's 1533-position model. The record is from RNAcentral.
CCUACGGGGGGCAGCAGUGGGGAAUAUUGCGCAAUGGGCGAAAGCCUGACGCAGCGACGCCGCGUGAGGGAUGAAGGUCUUCGGAUCGUAAACCUCUGUCAGCAGGGAAGAACGGUCACUGUGCUAAUCAGCAGUGAAUUGACGGUACCUGCAAAGGAAGCACCGGCUAACUCCGUGCCAGCAGCCGCGAUAAUACGGAGGGUGCGAGCGUUAGUCGGAAUUACUGGGCGUAAAGCGCUCGUAGGCGGUAUGUCAAGUCAAGGGUGAAAGCCCCGCGCUCAACGUGGGAACUGCCUUUGAAACUGGCAAACUGGAGUGUGUGAGAGGAUAGUGGAAUUCCAGGUGUAGGAGUGAAAUCCGUAGAUAUCUGGAGGAACAUCAGUGGCGAAGGCGACUAUCUGGCACAUAACUGACGCUGAGGAGCGAAAGCGUGGGUAGCAAACAGGAUUAGAUACCCCUGUAGUC